AUGCUCAUUUCAGCAGCACACACACUAAAACUAGAAUGAUACAAAGAUUAGCAUGGCCCCUGCACAAGUAUGACACACAAAUUCAUAAAGCGUUCCACAUUAAA
Jaculus jaculus (lesser Egyptian jerboa) is the source of this 104-nucleotide small nuclear RNA. The record is from Ensembl. NCBI's taxonomy places the organism in Eukaryota, Metazoa, Chordata, Mammalia, Rodentia, Dipodidae.